Molecule: non-coding RNA, 5398 nt
Organism: Ictidomys tridecemlineatus (thirteen-lined ground squirrel)
Lineage: Eukaryota; Metazoa; Chordata; Mammalia; Rodentia; Sciuridae
Source: RefSeq, a predicted model, not a curated record
AGUGGUAGAGUAACAUCCCCUCGAUCCCGGUCAUCUUCAGAAUGAUGACGUCUCCCUGGGGUCCCAGGGGAAUGGGACGGUUUUCACACCAUUGGGAAGGCGGAUGUGAGCAGGGGCCUCGCCUGACGGCUGUGGAAGCUGCAGGUGUGUGUGCCCGAUGCCCUCGGAGCCCUUGGCAACUCUGCCAGGCAGGAUUUACCGGGCCCACUUUGUGGAUGGCAGUCACUGAGGCCCAGUGAAGUGACCUGCCCUAUGGGGCAGAGCCAGUGCAGGACGCUGCCUGACCCUGCCACCAGCCCCAGUCCUAACCCUCGCCUGCCUGCUGAGGACCAGGUCAGGUGAGGGGAGAUCUGAGUCGCCUGCUUUGGGAAGGGCCAGAUGAGCGUCUGCCACUGGCCCUCACAGCCUGGACGCACCAGGAGAUGCGUUUAGACCUGGACUGCAGCCCACGGAACAGGGCUCCCAGCCCCGACUCCGUCUCCGCAGAUCCCUCUGCGUUUCUGAACCUGUUUGCUCUUGUGUGGAGCAGCUGGGUAGAUGCAGUGACUCCAAAGGGUGGCAGCCUCUCAUUGGGGAGCAUGAGCUGCUCCUGGGUGGUGAAUAGGUAUGCGCUAUGUGUGCCGUCACCUUCUGGUUAUUGCUAGUGGGACUGGCUUUCCAAUCAGGGUAGUGAUUUAAUUUUAUAAUAAAUAUGCUGAAACCCUGCAAGAGUGUAGAUCUAGAAAGAGGUUCAAACACCUACCAGUGGUUGUGGCAGAACCCCAGCCACAGCUGCGAAGGUUUAUGGAAUGCUUCCUGUGGGCGGGGCGGGGUUCUAAGUGCUUCCUAUUCUUUAGCUCAGUGGGGUUGGUUUUGUUACGAGCCCCACAUUACAACUGAGUUAACUGCAGUAUCUUGCCCAGGCUGCAGGACUAGUAAGUGGAAGGGUCACAAUUUGAACCCAGACCCCUGAAUCCGGAGUCUGCAUUGCUAAGUUCUUAGGCUUGUGGCAUUGGGUUACCCUGCAGGGAACUAACCAAUUCUGACUCACCCGAGAUGUUCUUGGCUGAAAGUCCUGUGUGAAGGACACUCCCAAGCCCCAGGCAGACUGGGACAGUGAUGACUCUGCUUGUAUCUUAAGUCUUUUCCAAUAGCUUUGGAGUCUGCAUUACUGUAAAUGCCGGGGAACACGGGCCAAGUGUAUGUAAACCCAAACACGCCAGAUCUGCAGGGAUUGUGAGUAAAUACACACAUCUCCCAACCACACACAUAACAUCCAGAAACUCUUGCUUAAAAAUAACAGAGUAAGUGCCCGAUUGCUGUCUAUGUAACCAACAGUGACACUUGCCACUCCACAUAAAUAACAGAGGGAAAAUGUCCCACAUCUCUAUCUAUAGCAGAAUAAACUGUCCUGUGUAGAAAUUCUACAUCCUGGCACGCUGGCUGAUGUCAUGUAGAACAAAGAGACCCUGUCACCACAUGUGAACUAACAGUGAUGCCAAUAAUAGUAACAGCGGUAUUGGGGGCUGUCCUGUUUGUACCCACCUAGUUCCCACGUGGUGCUCAGCACUGUGUGUGCAUUAUGGUAACCAAUUCCCGUGUGGUACUUGAGGGCUAAUGUUAUAUUGCCAUCCCGUUUUACAGAUGAGGAAACGGGUGCAGGAAAGUUCUAGAAAUUGCCAGAGUUGCACUGCUCGGAAGCUCGGAAGCGAGAUUUCUAACCUGAGCAGGACACACUCUUAACGACGCGGGGAAAGACUCGUGCCACUGGAGAGAGUGCGAGCAUAGGAGGGGUUGGGGUCAGAGGGGGGCUUCCAGCACAAGUCCAUCACUGUCCCUCAACCGCGAGGGAACGCCUCUCGCCUUCGCACCUGGCCUAUCCUGCGAGGCUCCGACUCAACUGCGUUGCUGAUUGGACAGCUGAAUGACGGUGUCUCCGCCUUCUCAUUUGCAUUCCUCGCCUCCCCUGGUCCCCAUUGGCCAUCCGCCCUCCCUCCCCUUGCCCAGGCCCGCCCCCAGGCGCCAGGUGCCUGGCCCACGCGGGCGCGAGGUGCUCCUGCUGUAGGUGGCCCACUGGGUGCAGAGGGGCCCCCCUUCCCCUCGCGUCACCCGCAGCGCCCCCAGGCCUGCCCUAGCUGUCCUUCCCUGCUCUCCUCCCGCCGAGAGGCCUCAUCAGGAUGCGGGGAGUGAAAGCCGCGUUUCGCGGGGUAACCUUGAGCUGCUCGUACGCACGUUUGCAGCGCUCGGCACUGUAUUAUUAGCAGCAGAUUACUCGGUUCUACACCUCCCCGUUGCUCGCAGCUCAGAACCUUGGCUGAGAAUCGCUGGCAGAACGUGGGCAGCGGAAGGGGGGUGUGUUGGAGAGCCAGAGCGCGCUCCUCCCUCACGGCCAAGGGGCUUCCUGGGGACCAGCUGGUCCGGCCUGCCCAUCAGCCUGCCUCUGGCCAUUCUACGGCAUUGAAAGCCAAACCCAGAGGGCCCUGGUUUAGGGGCUCACAGGACUUUCUCCCCUUCCCGAGAGUUCUCCCCAGAAAGUGCGCUCCAACUCUGGCUCCAAGGCGGCCUUGGCCAGCUGCCAGGAGCCCUGGGACCUAGGUCACAGCCAGGGACGGUGACAGAGCAGCACAGCACCUUUGAGCUCUGCUGGUCCGAGGUCUUCAAAAGGACUAUCUCAUUAAAAUCUCUUUAGCAAGGUGGUGCCAUUGCUCCCUCCGGAAUGCAGGGUCACAGCCGAGGUGACCUGCUGUAGAGGGUUGCUUUGUGUUCCCCAAACAACUAUGUUCAAGUCCCAACCCCUCUAGCUGUGAAUAUGAUCUUGUGUGGAAAUAGGGUCUUGGCAGACGGUGAUCAAGUUGAGAUGGAGUCACGUGGGAUUAGGAAGGCACUAAUCUAAGAGAAAGGAGAGGAACUGGAAUCGCACUACACAGAAGGCAGUGUGGGGAGAGAGAGACUGGAGGUAGGUGGCCACCAGGCAGGGACAGCCAGGCUUCUUGGUCAGGAACAGCUGGGAGAGAGGGUGCGAGCAGACUCUCCCCCAGAGCCUCCCAAGGGAGCCCUCCCCGAGGGCUUGGGCCCUUGGAAAAAUGUCUGUUUCCAGGCACCCAUUUUAUGUGCUUUGUUAGGGGAAUAAUUCACCCCCCAAGGUCACAGGACUUUGGGUGUCACCUUGGGAUGACCCAGGUCUCCUGACCUAGUCCACGCUGUCCCCCUGACCCUGUGUUGGAGAACACGCAUGCGUCCCUGGAGUCUGGUUUAGUGGGGGCUUGCAGGUUCCCGGCCUUGCACGCUGUCUGCGAGGGGCCUCACAGCCCAGUCGUCCUCCGGGAGCGUUCUGUGAGCGAGCGUGGGCAGACGGGUGCCGUCUGGCCUGUUAAUCUGAGUCCCCAGGCCCUUUGUUGAUUCAGUCAAGAAGUGGAGAUUUAUCACACCUGUGCCUGACCCCAGGUAGAGAGGAGUUGCUGCUCCAAGGGGAGCACGGUGCAGCCUCGGGAGUGGGAGGGGCCAUAUCUGGCAGACGGUAACAGGCAAAGUUGUCCCUCUGCACAGAGGCUUGCCCCAUGUGUGACCCUGGGCGAGGCUUUUAGGAGCCAGAAAUAAGGGACACAGCGGCAAGGCUCUUAAAGAGAUACAGCCCCAGCCCGGAGCUGGGGGAGCAUGCACAAAACCAUCUUAUUAAAUCUGAUGACACACGCAAUGCUCACUACACGUUAAGCACUACUCUAAUUCCUGAAUUUUGUCACUCAUUGAAACCUUGAAAUGACCUCUUGCAUAGGCACUCUCGUUACUCAUGGGUCUCAGCUGGGGAAACUGAGGCGCAGAGAGGGUUAAGCCCAGGUGGGUGCAGGCCAGGUGACCAGAGUCUCUGCUUCCCACGGUGCCCUGCUGCAGAAGAGGGGGAGAUCUGCUCCGCCCCCUGGGAGGCUGGAGGGGAGGAUGGGAGGGGACGGGCGGCCUGUGUGGAGGUGGGCUCGUGGCUCAGAGGGUUGUGGUUGAAUUGCCCCCUCCCCGUUGACAAGGGAGAUCCUCGCCCUCUGUCCCUGGAUUGUGGCUGAGCUGAGGUCACAGGGAGGCAGGUCCGGCCCUCAUCCCGCCUGACUGCUGACCUUACAGAGGUGGAGUUUGGAUACAGGGGAGGGCAUCAGGUGAAGGCCAGGGCUGGGUGAUGCAUCCACAGGUCCAGGGAGACGGAAGAUUGCCAGAAAUCCUCCAGGAGCCAGGAGAGAGGUGGGGGCAGACCCCUCCUCGAAGCCCCUGGGAGGAUCCCGCCCUGCCCGUGUCUGGAUCUCGGACUUCUGUCCUCCAGAACCGUGAGAGUAACCUCCUGGUGUUGAGGGGCCCCGUUUGUGGUGAUUUGUUGUGAAAACCCUGGGAGAGAAUACAGAACAAAACGUGUGAGCAGUUUGGAAGAGGAGAGGGUAGGAUUUCUGGUGGGGCAUCUCAAGGACAUGGAGAGUUAAGGUUCCUGCCUGAGAUCUGAGAUCUCAGCUACUCAGUCACAGGAAGGGGCAGUUAUGCAGUGGGGGCAUUUGCAGUUGGAAGUCCAGGGCCUUGGGGCCAGACUUGGCCGAAUCCUAGCUCUGCUGUGUGACUUUUGGAUGGGUACUUAACUUCUCUGAAUGUCAGAGCCUCCCAUGUUUUCAAAAAGCAUGAAAUGCUCAGGCUGAGCAGGAACAUGCAGAAAGCAGAGCGUUAUGUCUUACAGGCAGGGACGCAAGGUUGGCGCUCACUAUGGAGACGGCAAGGUGAUCGCUGCCUUUGGGGACCCUUCCUUGCACAGGCAGGACUGGCUGAGGCAAUUAGAAGCAGGGGUCUGAGGACCAGGCUGACAGCAGUGCCCCCUCCCCCGUGACUCGCGAGACCGCGGAGCCACUCUGAAUCCUGUGCUCGGGAAGUUCUUCCAGAUUUCUGACAAAGCGCCUGCAAGCAGAAGGGUCACAUCAGGACAGGGUGUCCGCCGUCGGGGAGCACUGAGUGCAGGGGAGAGUGUCCAGUCCGGAGGUGCUCCAGAGGGCUCGGGCAGUAAGAGGAGCUGCGGGAACCACUGAUCUUGGGACUGGGGCGUCGGCUCUCCCUGCCUGGACCCAUUUUCUACCUCAUCCCCAUGGUGGGGAGAAGGCUGCCAUCACUCCUGACAACACAUGAUCCCAUGUGACAGCCCCGACUGAAGGACCCAGAGGAGGACCAGCCCCGUUGCAAGCACUCGGUGUGAUUGGCCAGUAGCAGUAAGAGGUGUGACCCUUAAGAGGUGACCAGGACCUCUAAUCCAUUAAAGCUGUUCUCACGGAGGGUCCCUUAUCAUGGGAAUGGGAUCUGAUCAAAAGAAGAGUCCAGCCCCAUUUUUUCCUCUGUGGUCAUUGCUGCCUUCCACCAUGGGAUGAUGCAGCACAGAGGCUCUUGCCAGACACCAGUGUCACGCUCC